RNA transcript from Rhinopithecus roxellana (golden snub-nosed monkey), 1434 nucleotides. It is a transcript of the gene named sulfotransferase 1A3, with no coding region annotated. The transcript is spliced from 8 exons. NCBI's taxonomy places the organism in Eukaryota, Metazoa, Chordata, Mammalia, Primates, Cercopithecidae. The record is from RefSeq and is a predicted model, not a curated record.
CCUAGCUCCAGAUUCCUCCCACACUGGACCUAGGAAACCCUCAGCACAGACAACACCCCUGCAUUCCCCACAUUGGACCCACACUCAGCCACUGCGGGCGAGGAGGGCACAAGGCCAGGUUCCCGAGAGCUCAGGAACAUGGAGCUGAUUCAGGACACCUCCCGCCCACCACUGGAGUACGUGAAGGGGGUUCCGCUCAUCAAGUACUUUGCAGAGGCACUGGGACCCCUGCAGAGCUUCCAGGCCCGGCCCGAUGACCUGCUCAUCAGCACCUACCCCAAGUCCGGCACCACCUGGGUGAGCCAGAUACUGGACAUGAUCUACCAGGGUGGCGACCUGGAGAAGUGUAACCGGGAUCCCAUCUACAUACGGGUGCCCUUCCUUGAGGCCAAUGAUCCAGGGGAACCCUCAGGGCUGGAGACUCUGAAAGACACACCGGCCCCACGGCUCAUCAAGUCACACCUGCCCCUGGCCCUGCUCCCCCAGACUCUGUUGGAUCAGAAGGUCAAGGUGGUCUAUGUUGCCCGAAACCCAAAGGAUGUGGCGGUCUCCUACUAUCAUUUCCACCGUAUGGAAAAGACGCACCCUGAGCCUGGGACCUGGGACAGCUUCCUGGAGAAGUUCGUGGCCGAAGAAGUGUCCUACGGGUCCUGGUACCAGCAUGUGCAGGAGUGGUGGGAGCUGAGCCACACCCACCCUGUUCUCUACCUCUUCUAUGAAGACAUGAAGGAGGAGCCUCUGCUCCUCAGAACCCCAAAAGGGAGAUUCAGAAGAUCCUGGAGUUUGUGGGGCGCUCCCUGCCAGAGGAGACCGUGGACCUCAUGGUUCAACACACGUCAUUCAGGGAGAUGAAGAAGAACCCUAUGACCAACUACACCACCGUCCCCCAGGAGUUCAUGGACCACAGUAUCUCCCCCUUCAUGAGGAAAGGCAUGGCUGGGGACUGGAAGACCACCUUCACCGUGGCGCAGAAUGAGCGCUUCGAUGCGGACUAUGCGGAGAAGAUGGCAGGCUGCAGCCUCAGCUUCCGCUCUGAGCUGUGAGAGCGGCUCCCGGGGUCACUGCAGAGGGAGUGUGCGAAUCUACCCUGACCAAUGGGCUCAAGAAUAAAGUAUGAUUUUUGAGUCAGGCACAGUGGCUCACGUCUGCAAUCCAAGCGAUUUGGGAGGCUGAGCUGGGAGGAUCGCAAUAGGCCACACAUUUGAGACCAGCCUGGUAAAAUAGUGAGACCUCAUCUCUACAAAGAUGUAAUGUAAUUAGCCACAUGUGCUGGCACUUACCUGUAGUCCCAGCUACUUGGGAAGCAGAGGCUGGAGGAUCAUUUCAGCCCAGGAGGUUGUGGAUACCGUGAGUUACGAUUAUGCCCAUACACUACAGCCUGGAUGACAAGCAAGACCCUCCCUCCAAAGAAAAUAAAUUUCAAUUAAAAUAAAA